This 97-nucleotide small nuclear RNA is filed under the name Rhinolophus ferrumequinum (greater horseshoe bat). The record is from RNAcentral. Lineage: Eukaryota; Metazoa; Chordata; Mammalia; Chiroptera; Rhinolophidae.
GGCACCCUCUCUAUAUAAAAUUGGAAUGAAACAAAGAGAAUCAGCACGCCUCCUGUGCAAGGAUGACAUGCAAAUUUGUGAAGCAUUCCAUUUGUUU